This is a non-coding RNA of Podarcis lilfordi (Lilford's wall lizard), 69 nucleotides long. Lineage: Eukaryota; Metazoa; Chordata; Lepidosauria; Squamata; Lacertidae. The record is from the annotation of a GenBank genome assembly.
GGAUAGCUCAGUCAGUAAAGCAUGAGACUCUUAAUCUCAGGAUUGUGAGUUCAAGCCCCAGGCUGGGCA